This 68-nucleotide transfer RNA is filed under the name Staphylococcus aureus. RNAcentral describes it as "tRNA-Lys". It matches the Rfam family "tRNA". Rfam says of the family: Transfer RNA (tRNA) molecules are approximately 80 nucleotides in length. Their secondary structure includes four short double-helical elements and three loops (D, anti-codon, and T loops). The record is from RNAcentral. Lineage: Bacteria; Bacillati; Bacillota; Bacilli; Caryophanales; Staphylococcaceae.
GCCAUUAGCUCAGUUGGUAGAGCAUCUGACUUUUAAUCAGAGGGUCAGAGGUUCGAAUCCUCUAUGGC